ACUAAAAAGACUUAAGAGAUAGAGUGUGCUAGCUUGCUAGAAUUAGAUACAGGUGCUGCACGGCUGUCGUCAGCUCGUGUCGUGAGAUGUUGGGUUAAGUCCCGCAACGAGCGCAACCUCGUGUUUAGUUGCUAACAAGUUCGGCUGAGAACUCUAAACAGACUGCCUAUGCAAGUAGGAGGAAGGUGAGGACGACGUCAAGUCAUCAUGGCCCUUACGGCCAGGGCUACACACGUGCUACAAUGGGGUAUACAAAGAGCAGCGAUACGGUGACGUGGAGCAAAUCUAGAAAAUGCCUCUCAGUUCGGAUUGUAGUCUGCAACUCGACUACAUGAAGUUGGAAUCGCUAGUAAUCGUAGAUCAGCAGUGCUACGGUGAAUACGUUCCCGGGUCUU
RNAcentral lists this ribosomal RNA (395 nucleotides) under uncultured Arcobacter sp. RNAcentral describes it as "bacterial SSU rRNA". It matches the Rfam family "Bacterial small subunit ribosomal RNA", at positions 988 to 1382 of the family's 1533-position model. Lineage: Bacteria; Pseudomonadati; Campylobacterota; Epsilonproteobacteria; Campylobacterales; Arcobacteraceae. The record is from RNAcentral.